CUUAGUACACAGGCAGCUUUUCUGGCACAAAUCCAUUCUGUUUGCUGAGGUCUAUCUUAUUAAAUAUGCUUCCCAUCAAAUUGGGAGACCAUCACUUGUCCUUUUAGAGAAGAAAAGCUACAUCGUUAGGAGCAGUGGUGAUGAGGGCCCACCAUCCUGCAAAGCGAGGAAUGCAGAGAGGACGCGAGGAGCCGUGCUGUACGUCCACGUGGCACAGCCAUGUGAUUCGGGAAGAGGAGACCAAAUGGUUUCGCGUCUUAAUCCCCGUGGACCUGAGCCACCAGGGCUCACCGGUCUCAUGAUAAAGGCCUGGGAAAGCAAAGUCACGCAAGCAUCUACAAGAGCAGCUACCAUUCAGCACAGAUUCAGCAACUGUCAUUAGAGAGAUGCUUUUUUUCUAAAGCGGUCAUGGUAGAAUUGCAUCUUCAGGCUGUUGGAUGGCUCACGCCAGAAGUGUCUCCAUGCGACCUGGGGAGAAGAAGAAGAACACAGAGAAACAAAGUCCAACAGU
Long non-coding RNA from Felis catus (domestic cat), 511 nucleotides. RefSeq lists it as uncharacterized. The transcript has 4 exons. NCBI's taxonomy places the organism in Eukaryota, Metazoa, Chordata, Mammalia, Carnivora, Felidae. The record is from RefSeq and is a predicted model, not a curated record.